CUCUAGCUGACGAGUCCUAAAUAGAACGAAACACGCACCCUGGAU
Schistosoma curassoni is the source of this 45-nucleotide non-coding RNA. The record is from Rfam. Lineage: Eukaryota; Metazoa; Platyhelminthes; Trematoda; Strigeidida; Schistosomatidae.